UUCUCCGUGGCGCAAUUGGUUAGCGCGUCCGACUGUUAGAAUAUACUCCUCCAGAGUUGUUCUUCGGUAUCGGGAGGUUGGAAGUUCAAGCCUUCCCGGGGAAG
This 104-nucleotide transfer RNA is filed under the name Morchella conica CCBAS932. It matches the Rfam family "tRNA". Rfam says of the family: Transfer RNA (tRNA) molecules are approximately 80 nucleotides in length. Their secondary structure includes four short double-helical elements and three loops (D, anti-codon, and T loops). The record is from Rfam by way of RNAcentral. Lineage: Eukaryota; Fungi; Ascomycota; Pezizomycetes; Pezizales; Morchellaceae.